GUCCGACGCGAAAGUCCCGCAAGGGAUGAUUAGAGUGGCAAACGGGUGAGUAACGCGUGGGCGACCUACCUUCGAGUGGGGGAUAACAUUCCGAAAGGAGUGCUAAUACCGCAUGACAUCCCGUGUUUAGAUACACGGACAUCAAAGCCGGGGAUCGUAAGACCUGGCGCUUGGAGAGGGGCCCGCGUCCGAUUAGCUAGUUGGUGAGGUAAUGGCUCACCAAGGCUUCGAUCGGUAUCCGGCCUGAGAGGGCGGACGGACACACUGGGACUGAGACACGGCCCAGACUCCUACGGGAGGCAGCAGUGGGGAAUUGUUCACAAUGGGCGCAAGCCUGAUGACGCAACGCCGCGUGGAGGAUGAAGACCUUCGGGUCGUAAACUCCUUUCGACCGAGAUGAAGACCCUCCGGGCUAAUACCCCGGAGGAUUGACAGUAUCGAGGGAAGCAGCCCCGGCUAACUCUGUGCCAGCAGCCGCGGUAAUACAGGGGGGCAAGCGUUGUUCGGAAUUACUGGGCGUAAAGGGUUCGUAGGUGGCUUGCUUAGUCAGACGUGAAAUCCCUCAGCUCAACUGGGGAACUGCGUCUGAUACUGGCGAGCUUGAGUGCAGGAGAGGAAUGCGGAAUUCCAGGUGUAGCGGUGAAAUGCGUAGAUAUCUGGAGGAACACCGGUGGCGAAGGCGGCAUUCUGGACUGCAACUGACACUGAGGAACGAAAGCCAGGGGAGCAAACGGGAUUAGAUACCCCGGUAGUCCUGGCCCU
This 762-nucleotide ribosomal RNA is filed under the name uncultured bacterium. Its description in RNAcentral is "bacterial SSU rRNA". It matches the Rfam family "Bacterial small subunit ribosomal RNA", at positions 61 to 803 of the family's 1533-position model. The record is from RNAcentral.